UGAUGACAUUCUCCAGAAUCACCAUACAGCUUUGAUAAAAGUACCUCUGAACCCUUUCCAUCUGAUGACC
Molecule: small nucleolar RNA, 70 nt
Filed under: Dasypus novemcinctus (nine-banded armadillo)
Lineage: Eukaryota; Metazoa; Chordata; Mammalia; Cingulata; Dasypodidae
Description: Small nucleolar RNA MBII-202 (ENSDNOG00000026359.1)
Rfam family: Small nucleolar RNA MBII-202
About the family: MBII-202 is a member of the C/D class of snoRNA which contain the C (UGAUGA) and D (CUGA) box motifs. Most of the members of the box C/D family function in directing site-specific 2'-O-methylation of substrate RNAs.
Source: RNAcentral